CCGCCGCCCGGCGCAGGGGCCGGGAGCAAGUGCACGCCGCGCGGAGGACGAAGAGGCUGCACGCACAGCCGCUGCCGGGGGUCGGGGCCAAGUGCGCGCCUCGCCGAGGACGAAGAGGCUGGCGUGCCCGGUGGCUCGGCUAGCUCCCGGGUCCCGGCCCCGCCUGGAGGAUGCGGCUGUGGGGGAAUGGGAGCGGCCGGACCUCCCAGCCUGACAGUGCAUCAAGAGCUUUGCGGAGCCUACAGCCCGGAUGGGACGACUGAGGCCCUCCCGCUGGCGAGCUGGCCGAGGGCUCGUCCCUCUCCAGCUAAAGCGCCAGCUUACGAUACAGCCAAACUGCCGGCUCUCAUCGGCUGUGGGAGCAGGAGGCCCCCAGGGGUAAAUCCCGGAGCCUCGUCUCUGAAGCCUGGCGCUUGUGUCUCAGAAGAUGGAGUUCCUCUCUUGUGGCCCAGGCUGGAGUGCAAUAGCACCAUCUCGGCUCACUGCAACCUCUGCCUCCCAGGUUCAAGUGAUUCUCCUGCCUUAGCCUCCUGAGUAGCUAGGAUUACAGGUGGCCAUCAUCGAAUCCACUGAGGGCGCAAAUAGAACAAAAAGGUGAAGAAAAGGUGAAUUCUCUCCUUUCUUGAGCUGGGACAUCCAACUUCUCAGACAUCAGAGCUCCUGGAGGCCUUCAGACUCCGAGACAUUACACCAUUGGCUCACCUGGUCCUCAGGUCUUUGGACUUGGAAUGAAUUACACCAUUGGCUUUCCAGGUCUUCCAGCUUGCAGAUGGCAGAUUGUGGGACUUUUCAGCCUCCAUAACUUUGUCAUCCAAUUCCCAUAAUAAAUCGCCUCUUAUAUCU
This 843-nucleotide long non-coding RNA is filed under the name Homo sapiens (human). RNAcentral's name for it is "HSALNT0363343". The record is from RNAcentral. Lineage: Eukaryota; Metazoa; Chordata; Mammalia; Primates; Hominidae.